Molecule: long non-coding RNA, 221 nt
Filed under: Mytilus galloprovincialis (Mediterranean mussel)
Lineage: Eukaryota; Metazoa; Mollusca; Bivalvia; Mytilida; Mytilidae
Source: RNAcentral
AAAUUCAAGGAUCACACAUUUGCCUUUAAUUAUCUAUACGGAAAUUGCUGUACUCGUGAAUAUUAGCACCGACUGUUAUCGACGGCUUACUUUACACUAGUAAGUUUGUCUUAUGGGUAAUUGUUUUUCGCUGUUGUUUCGUUGCUGUCGGGUGGACAAAUACAUGAAAUUUCCGUGCCAUCAUCAAAUAUAUUAAUGGCUAUAUAUCGGGUCAUUCAAAC